UGAACGCUGGCGGUAUGCCUAACACAUGCAAGUCGUACGAGGGUUUUUAACUCUAGUGGCGGACGGGUGAGUAACACGUGAGAAUUUGCCUUUAGGAGGGGGAUAACAAUCGGAAACGAAUGCUAAUACCCCAUAUGCUUUCGAGUGAAACGGAUUUGUCCGCCUAAAGAGAAGCUCGCGGCUGAUUAGCUUGUUGGUAAGGUAAUGGCUUACCAAGGCGACGAUCAGUAGCUGGUUUGAGAGGACGACCAGCCACACUGGGACUGGGACACGGCCCAGACUCCUACGGGAGGCAGCAGUGGGGAAUUUUCCGCAAUGGGCGAAAGCCUGACGGAGCAAUACCGCGUGAGGGAUGAAAGCCUGUGGGUUGUAAACCUCUUUUCUCAAGGAAGAAGUUCUGACGGUACUUGAGGAAUAAGCAUCGGCUAACUCUGUGCCAGCAG
Molecule: ribosomal RNA, 443 nt
Filed under: uncultured bacterium
Lineage: Bacteria
Description: bacterial SSU rRNA
Rfam family: Bacterial small subunit ribosomal RNA
Source: RNAcentral